This 467-nucleotide ribosomal RNA is filed under the name uncultured bacterium. RNAcentral's name for it is "partial 16S ribosomal RNA". It matches the Rfam family "Bacterial small subunit ribosomal RNA", at positions 28 to 507 of the family's 1533-position model. The record is from RNAcentral.
GAUGAACGCUGGCGGCGUGCUUAACACAUGCAAGUCGAACGGAAAGGCCCAAGUUUGCUUGGGUACUCGAGUGGAGAACGGGUGAGUAACACGUGGGUGAUCUGCCCUGCACUUCGGGAUAAGCCUGGGAAACUGGGUCUAAUACCGGAUAGGACCACUUUUUGGAUGUUGUGGUGGAAAGUUUUUUCGGUGUGGGAUGAGCUCGCGGCCUAUCAGCUUGUUGGUGGGGUAAUGGUCUACCAAGGCGUCGACGGGUAGCCGGCCUGAGAGGGUGGACGGCCACAUUGGGACUGAGAGACGGCCCAGACUCCUACGGGAGGCAGCAGUGGGGAAUAUUGCACAAUGGGCGCAAGCCGGAUGCAGCGACGCCGCGGGGGGGAUGACGGCCUUCGGGUUGGAAACUCCUUUCGCUAGGGACGAAGCGUUUUGUGACGGUACCUGGAGAAGAAGCACCGGCUAACUACGUG